This 468-nucleotide ribosomal RNA is filed under the name uncultured bacterium. Its description in RNAcentral is "partial 16S ribosomal RNA". It matches the Rfam family "Bacterial small subunit ribosomal RNA", at positions 28 to 507 of the family's 1533-position model. The record is from RNAcentral.
GACGAACGCUGGCGGCGUGCUUAACACAUGCAGGUCGAACGGAAAGGCCCUGCUUUUGUGGGGUGCUCGAGUGGCGAACGGGUGAGUAACACGUGAGUAACCUGCCCUUGACUUUGGGAUAACUUCAGGAAACUGGGGCUAAUACCGGAUAGGAGCUCCUGCUGCAUGGUGGGGGUUGGAAAGUUUCGACGGUUGGGGAUGGACUCGCGGCUUAUCAGCUUGUUGGUGGGGUAGUGGCUUACCAAGGCUUUGACGGGUAGCCGGCCUGAGAGGGUGACCGGCCACAUUGGGACUGAGAUACGGCCCAGACUCCUACGGGAGGCAGCAGUGGGGAAUAUUGCACAAUGGGCGGAAGCCUGAGGCAGCAACGCCGCGUGCGGGAUGACGGCCUUCGGGUUGUAAACCGCUUUCGCCUGUGACGAAGCGUGAGUGACGGUAAUGGGUAAAGAAGCACCGGCUAACUACGUG